RNAcentral lists this ribosomal RNA (425 nucleotides) under uncultured bacterium. RNAcentral's name for it is "partial 16S ribosomal RNA". It matches the Rfam family "Bacterial small subunit ribosomal RNA", at positions 354 to 796 of the family's 1533-position model. The record is from RNAcentral.
GUGGGGAAUCUUGCGCAAUGGGCGAAAGCCUGACGCAGCCAUGCCGCGUGAAUGAUGAAGGUCUUAGGAUUGUAAAAUUCUUUCACCGGGGACGAUAAUGACGGUACCCGGAGAAGAAGCUCCGGCUAACUUCGUGCCAGCAGCCGCGGUAAUACGAAGGGGGCUAGCGUUGCUCGGAAUUACUGGGCGUAAAGGGCGCGUAGGCGGACAGCUUAGUCAGAGGUGAAAGCCCAUGGCUCAACCUUGGAAUUGUCUUUGAUACUGGCUGUAUUGAGUACGGGAGAGGUGAGUGGAACUCCGAGUGUAGAGGUGAAAUUCGUAGAUAUUCGGAAGAACACCAGUGGCGAAGGCGACUCACUGGCCCGUUACUGACGCUGAGGCGCGAAAGCGUGGGGAGCAAACAGGAUUAGAUACCCGUGUAGUCC